Molecule: ribosomal RNA, 932 nt
Filed under: Triticum aestivum (bread wheat)
Lineage: Eukaryota; Viridiplantae; Streptophyta; Magnoliopsida; Poales; Poaceae
Description: partial small subunit ribosomal RNA
Source: RNAcentral
UGAGACCGUAUCAAAGAUAAGAUGAGGGAGGCAAGGAUGUAUAUUCGGAAAGACCUAUAAAGUUAUGCAUGCUGUAUAUCUACAUAUAUCUGUAUAAAAUCUUACAUCUAAGUGAGUAAAACGAGGUAUACGUCAGGUAUAACCUUAGAGAUUUUCCCGAAUAUAAAUCCUUGCGUCCCUCAUGAACCAGCACUUGGUUUGAUGGUACGACUCCAGGUAAGCCCGAAGCCAACGGCGGUGACGUAAGCUGACCCGAGGAUCCAAGUACGAACACAUCAACGUACUGUCUCUAAGACAUUAAAACCUUGGUUCCCACGGGGACGACAAAACUUGGGUACUAUAUGUCAAGUUGAAACAAAAGACGAACUAACUACGGUGAGCUGAGGUCGGAAAAAGAAAUAACACCAGAAAGUACAUGCUCCGAUCAAGUUGAUACUUACCAAAGUUAAGUAGUAUACUAUAAAGCAUUACGACGUACUACACACACACAUAACAUGUAGAAGACUUUGUAUACUCAAUAAAACAUCCCUGUUUACCAUCUUUCAUCGUUCAGGUGUUCAACUAGCUUCUACAAGAGGACUAAAGAAAACAACUUUUGUCCCAAGUGUGUAAAACAAGUAUACCUUCAACUAAACCGAACCACUAACUUCUCAACCAGAAGGUAUUAUAAGACAUCAUCAGUUCACUAGUUCGUAAACAGAGGAUCCUUGAAACCGGUAAUACGAACAUUAUUGCACGGAGAGAGCCAUGAAUAUAGACUGAACACAUAUGAAUUACCGACAUCGAUUGAAGUCACUUCUUUUGAUUACUUAGAAGAUAUAUACAGCUUACUUACGUAACUAGUUACCAUAGAAAACGACUUAUCUUCUCACGUUAACAGACAUAUACAUAAAGCAUAACUUGUACUCAACUUAUAAUACUUACACAAAAGU